Molecule: long non-coding RNA, 251 nt
Filed under: Musa acuminata (dwarf banana)
Lineage: Eukaryota; Viridiplantae; Streptophyta; Magnoliopsida; Zingiberales; Musaceae
Description: long non-coding RNA (MACU_LNC001258)
Source: RNAcentral
GCCGUGGCUGAGGCUGUGACUGCAGCAGUGCAGCUGGGAAAGAAGAGAAGGAAAGGAAGAAGAAGAGAAAGGAAAAGGGAAGAAGAGAGGAAGAGGAGAAGGGGAGGCAACUGCGGCAGUGGCAGCUGUAGCUAGAAGAGAAGGAGAGGAAACAGACCAGGGGAGGAAGAAGAGGCUGCGACUGUGGUGGCUGCGGCCGUGGCUGCGACUGCAGCUGCGGCUGCGACGUUGGCUGCGGUAGCUGCGGCAGC